UUUCAAGCUUCCAAGCUUGAUUGUAAGUCCGUUCUAGCCCCAUUUUUAAUGUUCUUUACAUUUUUAAGAUUCUCGUAGCUCGGUUUAGCUAUUUCCACCAUUAUUUUGAGCUAGGGUUUGUGUUUAAAAAUUUACCCAUGGAUGACAUGCAUGUUUUUUUAUGUUUAAUGGUGGAAUAUGAAUGCUCAGUGUGUAAUAAACUACUUUUACUAAGUGAUUUUCGGUGAAAUUGUAAAAAAGGACAAGUUUGUAAAAAGUUGUACAAUGUGUGUAAGUGUGUGAAUAAAUGGAAAUUGUGGACUUCUAUAGUUAUAAAAAUAGUUCAGCUAGGCUUAAAAUACAAGGAAAUUAAAUAAAAAUCAUUUUACUAGCCUAGGGGAAAAAGUGUAAAUAUGACAAAGUUUAGGGGUAAAAAUAUAAAUUUUGUCAAAAUGUGAAUUUAGGCUAAUUUGAUUAGCAGGAUGAAUAAAUGAGUUAAAUGUGUUGUUAUAGAUCAAUGAAAACGAGAUUCGAACUUAGAACGGGAGGAAAAUAAAGAAUAUGAUGAAUAAGUCCUUUUCUCCGAUUGUGAUACCGAGGUAAGUUUGUAUGUAAAUAAUAUAUCAUUUUUACUUAUGUUAUAAUAUUUUGUUAUUAUAUGAGAGGUGGUUGCAUAUUGAAUGAUCACUUGAUGUAAAUUAUGAAUUGAAAUUGAUUAUGGAUGAAUUGGUAAAAUGUUCAAAAGUGAGGAAUUUCCCGGUUGGACCUUCGGAAUAGGAAAGAUACGAAUGAUCCAUUGUGAGAACAAAUGUGUAGUACUAUGUGCAGGCUACUAUGUGUUUAAAAUGGUUUUAGGUCACGUGUGUAGUACCAAGUGCAGGCUACUACGUGUACCAAAUGGUUAGGUCGCAUGUGUAGUACUAAGUGCAGGCUACUAUGCAUACCCGAUAGCUUUGAUCACAUGUGUGGUACUAAGUGCAGGCCACUAUGUGUAAAAGAUAGCUUUGGUCACAAGUGUGGUACUAUGUGAAGGCCACUUUGUGAAGAAGGUAGCUUUGACUACAAGGGUGGUACUAUGUGCAGGCCACCGGGCAUCCGUUAUUAUUCCGAUGUGUUCAACGGGAAAUGACAAGGUGUAAUUGAAUAUGACUAUGUGAUGAAUAAGUGAAGGUUUGUGUGUGUAAACUUAUGAGCAACGUGCUCGACAUGUGAUCGAACUUUGGUAAGAUUGAUAUGGAUUAAGUGUUACAAUGAAAGUCACUACAAAGAAAAUAUGAAAAAGUGAAAUUUAGUAAUAAAACAGUUUUGGACAGCAGUAGUUGUGUGACUUUGAACCAAAAAUGGUGGAAAUUGAAUUAGAAGUUGAAUAAGAUAUGAAAUAAAAGCUUACUGAGUCUAUUUUCAUAUAAAAGAAACGGUGUAAGAAAAUAAUUUCAUAUUAUGAGAUAUUUGAAUUUUUGUGAGAUAGAGUCAGAAUAAUUUUGGAAUCCCCUGUUUUGAUUUGGGAAAAUCAUUAAAAAUUGUAAAAAAAUAAUUAUGGUUUAUAAUUUAUAUGAUUAAAAUCCUUAAUGAUUCUAUUUUCGAAAGAAACAAAUAGGAACAUUAUCCAAAUCUUGUACGAAGAGAUAAUUAAUUUUUAGUUCAGAGAGGUCAGAACUAUUGGACAACAAAACAGGGGUGACUUUAAAGAAUAAACUGUACUUAUUGGCUAAAUAAAAAAUUCUUGAAAUUUUAUGGUAAGAAGAUAUAUGAGCCUAGUUUCAGGGAAAAUUAGCAAAUCUUAGUUUGGAGUUUCGUAGCUCAAGAUAUAAAUAAUUUAGUGACUGUGACUCGAGUAGACAGCUUGAGAUAAACAUGAAUAAAUAGUGGAACUAUGUGCAACUAUGAUUGUAUUAUCUUGAGAACAUAUUAUGAAGAUUUAUAAAAGCAUGUUAAUAGAUUACUUAUCAUUUACAUACCUACUUACUAACCGAUAAUGCUUACCCCCCUUCCUUUCCUUGUAAUACCCCGAAAAUUUUUACUGUAAGAUAUUAUCCUUGAUAUAGUAAAAUAAGAAAAUAAAGUGACAAAAAGGAAAAUUUUGAGUUGUGUCAACCUUGGGAAGUAUAUUAUGAUAUAUUAAUUCAAGAAAGGACUAAAUUGUAAAGAUGAGAAAAGUUUUGUUGCACAAGAGUAAAUACUCAAAAUUUGAGGGUUAGAGUGUAAAUAUGAAAAAUUUGAAGGACCAAUAGUGAAAAUAUUUUAAGGGUGGAAUGAUCUAGAAACUAAGGAAAAUAGAUGAAUUAGGACCAAAUUGAAUAGAUGAAAAAUUAUGAGGGACUAAAUGGCAAUUUUACCAAAUUAAGUUAUGACUCAAGGAUGAAAUUCUAAAAGAUCAUGAAGGGCAAAAUGGUCACUUAGUAAGAGAGAGAAUUCUAGAAUGUAAUGAUUAUGUUGAUGAUAUUUUAAAUUAAUUAAAUAGAUAAAUUUUAUUUUAUUAAUAUUUUAAUGACAUAUUUAUUAUUAUUUUAUUAUUAUUUAUUUAGUAUAUAAGGAAGGAAAGAUGAUGAAUUCUCAUCAUCUUUCCAUGCAUGCAAACGUUAGAAGAGAAGAAAAGAAAGAAAGUUUUCUUUUCUUUACAAUUUGGUCCUUCCACUAAAAAAUUCACCAUUUUCACCUAGAAAUCAAAAGAAUUUCCAUAGCUACCAACAGAAAAAAAUGUUAAGGAGACUAUGGGGAGUUAGAAUAUCAAAUUGGAUUCAAGGAAUAGAAGCUGGAGGAGAGAGAAAAUCAAAUUAAAGAUUGGAAUCAAUAGAACAAGGUAAGUACAUCAAGAUUUUAAUAUAUUUUUAAGUUUGUUAUUAUUAAGAAAGCAUGGAAAUAAUGUUAUAGUAGAGUCUUCUUACAUAAGGUUCUAUGUUCUUGAUGAGUUAGUGAAGGGAAAUAGGAGAAAGUGAUGGGAAAUAUUGUAGAGAAAGGGAAUAAGAGUGUUAUAAACUUGGUAAACAACCUUUUUCACUAAAACAGUUUUGGACAGCAACAUUAGUCUAAAUUUGAAAAAUCAUCAAAAAUUGUAUAAAUCGAAUUAGAGGAUUAAUAAAAUAUUAAAUUAAAUAUUAUUGAGUCAAGUUUCUUAUGGAAUAAACGUUGUAAGCAAUGGGAUUGUAAAUCAUGAGAUAUAGUAAAUUUUGUGAGACAAGGUCAGAAUGAUUUUGGGUUCCCCUGUUCAAACUUUGGAAAAUCAUAAAAAAUUGAAGAAAAAUAAUUAUGGACUUAAAUUUAUAUUUUUAAAAUCCUGAAUGAGUCUAUUUUCAAGAUAAAUAGACAGAAACAUCAUUCAAAUUUUGUACGAAGAGAUAAUUAAUUUUUAGCGAAAAAGGGUUAGAACUGUUAGACAGCAAAAUAGGAGUAAUUUUAAUGAAUAAACUAUGUUUAUUGGCUAAACCAAAAAUUCUGAAAAUUUUAUGGUAAGAAUAUAUGUGAGUCUAGUUUCAUUACAAAUUAUCAGAUCCUAAUUUGGAAUUUUUUACCUCAAGAUAUAAAUAAUUUAGUGACUAUGACUCAAGUAGACAGCUUGAUGUGAACAUAUAAGUAAAUAGUGGAAUUAUGUAUAAAUUAAGGAUGUGGAAUGGAGAGGAAGAGGAGGAAAAUAUAUGAAUAUUCAGCUAGUAUGGGUUUAUUUUAAAAAUGGCUAAUUUGCAUGUUUUAGGUUCAUGGACUAAAUUGAAUAAGAGUAAAUUUUAGGGGUAAUUUUGUAAAAAUAUCAAAAAAAGACCAAAUUGAAGAAAAUGAAUUGUUUUAGCAUUUAAAUUAAUAAAUUGAAUGAAAUUAUUAAUUUAGAUCAUGAUCGGGUGAAAAAUAGAAAAAAAAUAAAAAAUUACCAAAAUGCCCCUGAAUCUUGAUAUUUCUGUAAUUUAGCCAUGCAAGCUCAUAUAAUUUAAUUAAGUAUGAAAAUGUAUUGAUUUGAUUAUUGACUUGUGAGAAUUAUGAUAUGUAAAUGACAUGAAUAUGUAGCAUGAAAAUGUUAACAUAUGAUAUAUGUGAUAGAUAAAAAGGGUACAAGAACCCGUUCGAAUAUUAAAUUCUGAUUGGACAGGUGAUUACCCUUAUAAAUGAGGUCUUGCAAGUGCUGCAGUACAGGUUAUUCCGAAAAGAGUAAUCUUAUGAUCUCAUUAUGAAAAGGAAUUUCACCCGAAAGGGUGACACUUGAAAAAGAUACAUGUACCUAAAUGGUACAACUGGAAAAGGAAAUGUACACUGUGUGUGUACAACUUGAAAAGGAAAUGUACACUUUGUGUGUACACUUGAAAAGGAAAUGUACGCCUUGUGUGUACAAUGUGAAAAGUGGUAGAUUCGGCUACCUGAUUAGUGAAAAGUGGUAGCUCCGGCUACCUGAUUAGUGAAAAGUGGUAGCUCCAGCUACCUGAUCAGUGAAAAGUGAUAGCUCCAGCUACCUGAUCAGUGAAUAUUGGUAUCUUCGGCUACAAGUGACAAGUGAUAAGUGGUAGCUUUAGCUACACUUAUCUGAUCAAUGACAAGUGAAAAGUGUGAAAGUGCAAGUCCAUAGUUGAACUAUGGCAAAGCGAUAAAGUGUGCCAAUCAUGGCAAAGUGAUAUAGUGUGCCAAACAUGGCAAAGUGUUCAGUGAUCAGUGAUGAAUUGAUGGAUAAGACCAUAGUUGGACCAUGGCAAAGUGUUCAGUGAUCAGUGAUGAAUUGACGGAUAAGACCAUGGUUGAUCCAUGGCAAAGUGUGAAACGUAGAUAUGGUAUUUCCAUACAGAGCUCUGAAACGUAGGUAUGGUGUUUCCAUACUGAGUUGUGAAUCGUGGUAUUGAGCAAAUGACGGACUCAAAUCCACAAGACGUUCUCUAAUUUGACAAAGAUUGGUAAGUGACAUAUGAAAGUAGUAUUGGAAGACUUAUGGUUAUUAUUAAUAUUGAUCUAAAAUAAGUGUACCAUUGAUAUUUAAAUGAUUCAAUGGGUAAAGUUCUGAUAUGAGAUAACAUGAGUUUGAAAUGAAUUAUCACAGGUAUAUACCUGAAAUAUAUGGAAAUGAUGGUGCGUGAAAUAUUGAUAUAAUGAAAUGAAUGAUAUAUGUUUAUAAAGAAACAGCAAAAGAAUGAUAAGUAUCAUGACAUGUAAAAAUGUGAUUAUCUUUGAUAUGUUGCUACAAUGAAAUUAUGUAUGUUGAGAUGAGCAAUAAACUCAAGUGUAAUAUGAUGAGAAAAUAAGUUUACCUAUGUUAAAUUUAUAUGAAUAUGUUCAAGUAUGCUAACAAGUGUUACUGUUGAUGCUUAGACAAGUGCCAAGCUAUUGGUUAAAUGGUAAUAUGUUUAUUUAUAUGAUGUGUUGAAAGGGCAAGUGCUCAAAUGAAAAUAUACUUGUGAUCGUGAGAGAGUGACAAGUUUUAAGUUAUGCAAUAUCUUAUGAAAUGGCUUAUCAUAUGAUUAAUUGAAAAGGGUUAUGUUCAACUGCACUAGCUUGUGGUUAUAAUGGUAUAGUAUGCUUAUGACCAGUGUGUUAUACAUAAUGAAUGAGUGUGGAAAGUAAAGAGAUACAUAUGAAAAUAAAGAAACUAGGAAGAGUUAAAAUUAUUUAAAAUCUUACUAAGCUAGAGAUGAUAUGCAUAAGUGAUGAUGUGGAUUCAUUCACCUUGUAAAUUGAUGAAUAUAGCUUCAUGAGUAUUGUCUGAACCACACGACUUGGCCACACAGCCUGUAACCCCUGCAGUGUUGAAAAAUUUUAAAUAUUUUCAAAAAAAAUUUCGAGUUCUCGAUUAAGUCCCGAUAUAUAUUUAAGCCUCGAUGGCUCACAUAAGGGACACUAUGAUUAAAUUUGAUUAAUUACAGGCAUGAAUGUUAUGUGAAGCGAAAUUUCUGUUAAAUGAUCUGUAAAUUUUGGUAAUGCUCUGAAAUCCUGUUACGGCGAUGAAUACGGGUUGAGGGUGUUACAUUCCUUUUUUUUUCCUACAGUGUCACAGAUGCUAGCUCAAGUUGGAGGUCAUUGGAGAUUCUAUCACACUAACAAGUUAUUGAUUGGUAUAGUAUUAAUGAUCUUCAAGUAUUUUUAAGUCUAUGGCACGUAUAGGGAC
Molecule: long non-coding RNA, 6049 nt
Filed under: Gossypium barbadense (sea-island cotton)
Lineage: Eukaryota; Viridiplantae; Streptophyta; Magnoliopsida; Malvales; Malvaceae
Description: long non-coding RNA (GBAR_LNC004092)
Source: RNAcentral